CCGAAUCGUUGACACGAGUUGUUGCUGGCCUCCGAACGGGGGCACGUGCACGCUCUGUUUACACAUCCACCCACCCCUGUGCACCUUUUGUAGUUCUGCGGUCGGGACGCUCCGCUUCCCUUCCGUGGCUCUAUGUCUUUACACACACACACGUUAAAGAAGUCUUGUGGAAUGUACGCCGCGUUUAACGCAAUACAAUA
This 200-nucleotide unclassified non-coding RNA is filed under the name uncultured Thelephoraceae. Its description in RNAcentral is "sequence contains ITS1". The record is from RNAcentral. Lineage: Eukaryota; Fungi; Basidiomycota; Agaricomycetes; Thelephorales; Thelephoraceae.